CACCCACUCACCCAUCCACCCAUACUCACUCACAUCUCUCUCUCUCUCUCUCUCUCUCUCUUCUCUUUCUCUCCACUCUCUCUCACUCUCACACAAGGCCGUGUUGGCACGUGGCGGCCAACCGGGGCUAGCAGCCCAGUAUCAGCCUAGCAGCAGCCUAGCAAGAGCCUAGCAGGGACCCUAAUUGUUCUGCCGCCCGCGGGGCUCUCUGGGCUGCAGCGCCACGAUGAUGAUGAUGAUGAUGGCGAUGAUGAUGAUGAUGAUGAUGGCGAUGAUGAUGAUGAUGGUGAUGAUGGCGAUGAUGGUGGUUGAUGGUAAUGCGAGCUAUUGUACUCCGUAUAUUACUAGUUUUCAUCUAUCAAUCAAUGCUCAGUGGUAAUUCAGCAC
RNAcentral lists this small RNA (387 nucleotides) under Histoplasma ohiense. RNAcentral's name for it is "hypothetical lncRNA". Lineage: Eukaryota; Fungi; Ascomycota; Eurotiomycetes; Onygenales; Ajellomycetaceae. The record is from RNAcentral.